CCCCUAGAUGUUCUGGGCCGCACGCGCGCUACACUGAACAGUUCAACAAGUCUUAACCUUGGCCGAUAGGUCUGGGUAAUCUUUGAACGCUGUUCGUGAUUGGGAUAGACCUUUGCAAUUAUGGGUCUUCAACGAGGAAUUCCUAGUAAACGCAAGUCAUCAGCUUGCAUUGAUUACGUCCCUGCCCUUUGUACACACCGCCCGUCGCACCUACCGAUUGAAUGGUCCGGUGAAAUCUCGGGACGGCGUCUUGGUCGCUUGCGUCCGACUGCUGAAACUUGAUUAAACCAUAUCAUUUAGAGGAAGGUGAAGUCGUAACA
This 320-nucleotide ribosomal RNA is filed under the name uncultured eukaryote. RNAcentral describes it as "partial 18S ribosomal RNA". It matches the Rfam family "Eukaryotic small subunit ribosomal RNA", at positions 1470 to 1796 of the family's 1831-position model. The record is from RNAcentral.